UGCCAGCAGCCGCGGUAAUACGGAGGAUCCAAGCGUUAUCCGGGUUUAUUGGGCGUAAAGGGCGCGUAGGCGGUCUUGUCGGUCAGGUGUGAAAGCCCGGGGCUCAACCCCGGACGUGCAUUUGAAACAACAAGACUUGAGUACGGGAGAGGAGAGAGGAAUUCCUGGUGUAGAGGUGAAAUUCGUAGAUAUCAGGAGGAACACCGAUGGCGAAGGCAUCUCUCUGGACCGAUACUGACGCUGAGGCGCGAAGGCGUGGGUAGCGAACGGGAUUAGAUA
Molecule: ribosomal RNA, 279 nt
Filed under: uncultured bacterium
Lineage: Bacteria
Description: partial 16S ribosomal RNA
Rfam family: Bacterial small subunit ribosomal RNA
Source: RNAcentral